CUCCCGCCCCAACUAGCAAAAUCCCGUCCCGCCACCUCUCCCGAAUCCGUGACGGGUUAAAAAAUACAUUUCAUAAUCCGCCCCGCCUCGUAACCCGCCUCCCGCCGGCUCCCCGAAUCCGCCCCGCCAACUAAUAUUUUUUAUAAAAUUACAAUAUUAUUAAUAGUUUAUAAAAUAUAAAUUAAUAAUUUUUAAUAAUAUUAUAUAUAUAAUUUAACAAUAUCAAUUAUAAAAAUCAAAAAUAUCAAUCACAAUUCAAAACAAAAUUCAUAAGUUUCAAAUACAUUAGAAAUGAGAAUACUAAUUUAUUUGUAUUUUGAACUUUUUUAUAAAUAUAUUUUUUUAAGAAUAUUUUUUUAAAAUAUAAAUAAUUUUCAGG
This 379-nucleotide long non-coding RNA is filed under the name Ananas comosus (pineapple). Its description in RNAcentral is "long non-coding RNA (ACOM_LNC024531)". The record is from RNAcentral. Lineage: Eukaryota; Viridiplantae; Streptophyta; Magnoliopsida; Poales; Bromeliaceae.